RNAcentral lists this unclassified non-coding RNA (1751 nucleotides) under Hevea brasiliensis (rubber tree). The record is from RNAcentral. Lineage: Eukaryota; Viridiplantae; Streptophyta; Magnoliopsida; Malpighiales; Euphorbiaceae.
CAUGACAUAACGAAUCCUACCCUCUUGGUCUUUGUAUAGCGUACUUGUAGAAUCUAAUAUCCCAUAUUGCAACUAUUGAGCGACUAAUGCAAGCGACUACUUUUGCACAGAAACUAUGUAUUAUUCUUCACCAGUUGACUGAAUGUUCUCUUGACACUAUUUAUUUCUAAUACUAGUAAUGGUCAGCAAAGUUGAUGCUCUAAAACUUAAAUUAUUGGUUCUUUGUUUGAUAAGCUUACCACUUUUGCAACCCUGCUGUCCUUCUUGUAUUAUUGACAGAUAGAAAGCCGGCCCGUAUAUAACCUUAUCUUGAAUAGCUAUAAUUUAUAGAAGUGAAGAAAAAGACAACUCCCUGUAGUUUCAGUCUUUGCAGGAAGCUAGAGGCUAGCAGCAACCAUCAGCCAUCAAGAAUAUGGCUUGCCAGUUCAAUUAAUUUGCACCAGUAUUUGGUAGGUCCAUAGAUUUGAAUUAUGGAUGUGCAUGAAUGAAUCACCAUGUCUCAAGGGUUCAGCUCAAAUCUCAGGACACUUGGGGCUUUUAGGACAUUUAGGAGCAGAGAAUGUCCAUCUAGGACAACAGCAUAACCAUGUGCAACAACUGCAUUCUGGGAAUGAACAUCUGCAGCAAGAGCAAUCUGGGCACGAAGGAAAUCCACACGUGCAGCAGUCACUGCAGCAUGAAAUGUUUCUACAGCAACUGGAUCUAGGACAAGAGCAAGAGCAAGGACAAGAGCAAGAGCAAGGGCAACAGCAAGAGCAAGAGCAAGGGAAAGGGCAACAGCUCCGGCAAGAGCAACACCGCCAAUUGGGUGCUGGGCAGCGAAUACAUGAACAGCAGUUACAUAAGUCACAUGGAUCACAGUUGCAGUUGCAGUCACAACAGCGGGGCAAGUGUAUGCGCAAAGAGCAUCCCGAGUAGCAGCAACAACAAAUCCAUGAGAAAUUAAAGCAGGGUAUUCCACACAGCCACUUCCAGAAUCGACAAGACCUUCGAUUCUUUCGAUUUGUUGGCAUUAAAGGAUCCGGGUUAGCAACCACAAAUUCAGUGACCUCUUUGCAGCAUCUGGAUGCGGGCUGCAGACUGUCAACAGAUUUUAGUUCCUCCUCUAGAAAACCAAUUUCUCUCUCAAGCAUCUGCACCUUAGCCAUUUCCCUGCGCUUGCCAUACAAAUCUGGAUACUCCGGUGGAGACUUUGGGCAAGGCGGCGGCAACGAGGGCACCGAGGAAGAGCAACCCGACUUAGCUGUAGCCACUACUCUAUAACUUUCUUUGUGCAUGGUAAUAAUGAUAGUGGUAAUAAUGGUAAAGACGGCUGUGGAAAAGCCUGCAACUCUGAGUACGAACCCAUUUUGCAUUUUUGCUUAAAAAAAAUGAAAGAAAGAAAGAGUCUUGAUCGAAUUUGAGUGAGUUUUCAGUCCAGAAAUCUCCGCUCCUCCUGUGUAGCUCUGCGUCCUUGUGAUGUGGGUGUAUUAUUUUCUGAGCCAGUGUCUCGCUGGUGGGGUGGUGGAUGCAGAGGAGAAGCGAAAAACACGAUGAAGUACCUGAGAUAGACACGUGAUGGCUGCGUAGGAGAGAGAAAAGAGUUUUUUGUGCUAAUGGAGAAGGGAGUUGGAAUUUUGAACCUCGAAUCUGCUCUGAUUUUGAGACAAAAGAGAAACUAUGACCACAAUGGGUAAUCUCUUAUGAUCUUUGAUUCAAUCAACUCUAGUUACUUUUUACAAUUCUCACUCACUUGGAAUCUUUGCUUUUCC